AGCAGCCGCGGUAAUUCCAGCUCCAGUAGCGUAUAUUAAAGUUGUUGCAGUUAAAAAGCUCGUAGUUGAAUUUCGGGAUUAAUAUGUUGGUCGUGCCUUGGUACGUACUGGCAUUAUUGAUUCCUACCUUCUGAAGAACCUCGAUGUCAUUAAUUUGGUGUCUUGGGGAAUCAGGACCGUUACUUUGAAAAAUUAGAGUGUUUAAAGCAGGCUCGCGCUUGAAUACAUUAGCAUGGAAUAAUGAAAUAGGACGUUUGAUUCUAUUUUGUUGGUUUCUAGGAUCGACGUAAUGAUUAAUAGGGAUAGUUGGGGGCAUUAGUAUUCAAUUGUCAGAGGUGAAAUUCUUGGAUUUAUUGAAGACUGACUACUGCGAAAGCAUUUGCCAAGGAUGUUUUCAUUAAUCAAGAACGAAAGUUAGGGGAUCGAAGACGAUCAGAUACCGUCGUAGUCUUAACCAUAAACUAUGCCGACUAGGGAUCGGAUGAUGUUAAUUUUUAAUGACUCAUUCGGCGCCUUAACC
RNAcentral lists this unclassified non-coding RNA (520 nucleotides) under uncultured Glomus. RNAcentral's name for it is "SSU rRNA". It matches the Rfam family "Eukaryotic small subunit ribosomal RNA", at positions 569 to 1093 of the family's 1831-position model. Lineage: Eukaryota; Fungi; Glomeromycota; Glomeromycetes; Glomerales; Glomeraceae. The record is from RNAcentral.